CAGAGUUAUCCAACUCCCAAACCCACGUGAACUUAUCUCUUUGUUGCCUCGGCGCAAGCUACCCGGGACCUCGCGCCCCGGGCGGCCCGCCGGCGGACAAACCAAAACUCUUGUUAUCUUAGUUGAUUAUCUGAGUGUCUUAUUUAAUAAGUCA
This 154-nucleotide unclassified non-coding RNA is filed under the name soil metagenome. RNAcentral's name for it is "partial internal transcribed spacer 1". The record is from RNAcentral.